UUCCUUAAUUUACAAUGGAUAAAUUACUCAGACCGAAAGAGUUAGACAUUGAUCCUAAUGCUCCUCUGGCCUCAGAAAAAUGGACUCACUGGUAUGACACAUUUCAGAAUUUUCUUUCGUCCAUCAAGGAUAUUAACGAAGACUUUAAACUAAAGUUGUUGAAGAAUCACGUAUCUGCUACGGUUUAUAUGCUCAUCAGUGAUGUAUCGUCCUAUUCGAUGGCCAUAGACACACUCAAGACUACUUACAUUAAGGUAAAGAAUGACAUUUUUGCUAGACAUUUGGUUGCUACAUGUAAACAGCAGCCGGGCCAAACGGUAGAGUCCUUUAUGCUAAAGUUGCGAAGCCUGGCCCGGGACUGUGACUUUAAAGAAGUAACUGCUGAACAGCACAGAGACAUUUGCAUUAGAGACGCCUUCAUAACUGGUCUGGCAUCCAACACUAUUAGACAGCGGUUACUGGAAAAGACAUCUCUUACUCUACAAAGCGCUUUUGACGAAGCUAGAGUGUUAGAAACAGCGACAACCAUGCUCAGGCUUACAAUUCAACGAACGAAAUCUCCUGUGGGGCAAUGAAAACACCAACUAGCUCCCAUCUAGAAACAUACAUUUCUAAUGAAGACCAGGAAUUAAAUGCCAUUAAGUCGCUAUGCUACUUCUGUGGUAGGAGGAGACACUCUAGGACUGAAUGCCCUGCUCGAAAUGCAUUAUGUCAUCAGUGCGGUAAAAAUGGACACUUCCAAACUGUUUGUAAAUCAAGUAAAACAACAGCCAACAAAGCUGACAGCAAAAUAUCACUGACCAGUGUGAUAACUCCAUGUACCUUGUCAUCAACGCAUUUCUCUGGGCUUACACAGUCUACGGCACAAGUGAACGUCAACGGGUUGCUGUUGCAAGCUCUCAUAGACACUGGCAGCUGUGAAAGCUACAUAUCAGAAGCCAUCGUCAAGAGAAAUAAAUGGCCAGUACGUCCGUCUACAAACAGAAUAUUCAUGGCCACUACACAUCUUUCUGAAAAGACAUUAGGACAUACAUUUGCCGAUGUCCAGUACAAGAGAGAACAUUACAAAAAAGUCAAACUUUCUCUACUUGCUGGAUUGUGCUCGGAUGUAAUCCUUGGUGUAGACUUUAUAAGUCUUCAUAAGGAAUUGACCAUACCGUACUGAGGAAAACGCAAUCCUCUACACAUCUGUGGUCUUAAAGCAGCACGAGUCGAAACGCCUAGCCUAUUCAGUAAUCUAACUUCUGACUGCAGACCGGUGACUACUAAGUCCCGAAAGCACUCAAUAGGUGAUAACAAAUUUAUUGAGUCUGAAGUUAGAAAACUCCUCUCGGACAAAAUCAUUGAACCUUCAAAGUCUCCCUGGAGAGCACAGGUGCUGGUGACAACAAACGAGAGACAUAAAAGAAGGAUGGUCAUUGAUUACAGUCAAACAAUAAAUCGCUUCACCUUACUGGAUGCAUACCCAAUGCCCCGAGUCGAUGAACUGGUAGAAUGGAUAUCCAACUAUUCCGUUUUUAGUACACUAGACCUCAAAAGUGCUUACCAUCAAAUACCAAUCAAAUACCAAUCAAGACUGAGGAAAGGCCGUUUACUGCAUUUGAGGCAUGUGGCAAACUUUACCAGUUCUGUCGCAUCCCUUUCGGUGUUGCAUGCUUUCAGAGAACAAUAAAUCAAAUUAUUGAGAAUGAAAAGUUGCAGGACACCUUUGCAUAGUGGACAAUGUAACGGUAUGUGGUCAUGAUAAAGAGUCGCACGAUGAGAAUAUGCAAAGAUUUCUAGAUGCUUCUAGAAAGUAUGGGAUCACAUUUAAUGAAGACAAAAGUACGAUAGCCACUGACAAAGUUUGCCUAUUGGGAUACAAAAUUUCCAAAGGCCUACUCAAGCAAGACCCUGAAAGAUUCCAGGCUUUAAGAAACCUUCCUCCCCCUCAUGAUAUGCGCUCACAAAAACGGAUCGUGGGCAUGUUGGCGUACUACUCACAGUGGAUCCCAAAUUUUUCUAACAAAAUAAAUGUUUUGGCAAAUAACACGUCGUUCCCUCUUUCAGAAACAGUAAAGACAGCCCUUAACGAAUUAAAGCAGGAGCUGGAGAAAGCUGCCAUCUUCACCAUCGACUAUACUCGACCUCUGACAGUUGAAACAGACGGCUUCGGAUGUUGCAGUAGCUGCCACCCUCAACCAGGAUGGCCGUCCCGUGGCGUUCUUUUCAAGAACACUCUCGAAAAGUGAAAGGCGGCACUCAGCUAUAGAAAAAGAAGCUUAUGCAAUUGUAGAAUCUUUAAGGAAAUGGCACCACUACUUAGUAGGAAAUCGCUUUACCCUUGUCACGCUCUGUGGCCUUCAUGUAUGACAAACAGAGCAAAGGGAAAAUAAAGAAUGAGAAAAUUCAAAGGUGGAGACUGGAACUGAGCUGUUUCCACUACGAUGUCUUGUAUAGACCAGGCAAACACAAUGUAGCGGCUGAUACGUUUUCUAGAAACGGGUGUGUGUCAGCUAUGAGUCGAAAUGAAUUGAAACUGCUCCAUGACUCUCUGUGUCAUCCGGGAGUAACAAGACUAUGGCAUUUAGUGCGAGCGAAAAACUUACCUUUCUCUUGUGAAGAUGUUAGGCUGGUUGUCAACCAGUGCAGAAUCUGUGCCGAAGUAAAACCCAGAUAUUUCAGUAAUUGUAAUGGAACUCUAAUUAAGGCGAUGCAACCUUUCCAGAGACUAAGUAUGGACUCCAAAGGACCGCUCCCUUCUACAUCUCGGAACACAUACCUGCUAACUAUAGUUGACGAAUUUUCAAGAUUCCCGUUUGCAUACGCCUGUUCUGAUAUGUCGGCUUCAACAGUAAUCAGAUGUCUAGAUAAUUUAUUUGGACUUUUCGGAAUGCCUGACUAUGUACACUCUGAUAGAGGUACCUCAUUCAUGUCAAGAGAGGUGCAGGAAUUUUUACACGAGAGAGGGGUGGCCACAAGCAGGACGACCCCUUAUAAUCCCAGAGGAAACUCUCAAGUAGAAAGGCUAAACGGGUCAUUAUGGAAAGCUAUAACUCUGGCCUUAAAAACUCAAGGACUCCCGGUUUCCAAAUGGGAGCAGGCGUUAAACCAAGCCCUGUACUCUCUUCGUUCUCUGCUCUGUACCGCUACAAACGAGACACCUCACGAGAGAAUAUUCAAGUUCUAUCGCAGGUCCACCUUCGGCAAAUCACUCCCGACAUGGUUAGCUCAACCAGGAAAAGUGUUGUUAAAAAAGGGAGUCCGUGCAUCAAAAUAUGACGAUGGUACAAUAGCUGUGGACUUAAUCACAUGCAACCCACAGUAUGCCAUUGUAAGACUUCCUGAUGGAAGAGAAGAAACGGUGUCAUUACGACAUUUGGCCCCCGCUCCAAGAGAGGGAAAAUCAGAGGUGUAUCAACAUAUGGAACAUGAAGACUUUGAGCCGGAGACAAACCCUAUCACACAGAUGCAGGUGCCUACUGACCAUGUGACUAUGGAACCAAUGGCUGCUCCUAACACUCAUGUACAACAAGGGGAAAAUGGACAUCAAGAAGAAGUAAAUGCAGGGGCUGAGUCUCCUGUUAGAGAGCCGCCGAUGUCACCAACUCCAAGCGACGGCAGUAUUGGUCCUGGUAGAUAUAACCUAAGACCAAGAACAAGCAGACCUAAUUAUUUAAUUAUUUUGCCAUAUCACAAGUUCUAACUCAGUAAUUGUAGGCUUAAUUAAUAUGACACACUUUGAACUGAUCAUUUUAUAGUGUAUAGCUUUUCUAGUUAGACUUUUUGUAUUGUAUUACUUAUUACAUUAUUAUUCAAGACAACUGGUCUUAAUAUUUGUAUGCAUAAAAUGACACUUAGGGACUGAUAAUUUUAUAGUGUAUAACGUGUUUGUUUGUAGUUAUACAAUGCUUUUCAAUAGAGUAACUCUGUAUAGAUACUAUUAGAUACUAAGGCCUCUUAUAUCGCUGUCCUUCACUAUUAUUUACAUGUUUAUGUUCCUAUAACUUUUAGGCGGGGUGAUUGUAGUGUAACUGAGUUGAUUUUCUGCGUGCGUCCAGCGUGUCUGAAGGUCAUGGCCAUUGUGUGUGUUUCAUGUCCAGUGUGUGUGUGUGUAUAGACUGCAUCAGUGGUAUGCUAGACGUGCUGGUUUCAUUCACUGUUUACUGUAGUCUAAUUGUGUCGACUAAAGCCACGUUAUUGGUAUUCUAGUCGUUAGCAUUUCAUUACAAGGGAUAAACACACUAUAUGAAGAACAAAAUUAACUAUAGAAAAGAAAUGAGUGAAUAUAUAGGUCUAUAUAUAAUAGUACCGUAAUGUCUAUACAAUAGUAUAGUAUAGAGAACUAAAAAGACUGCUACAAUGAGUGGUAAAUUUUUUUUAAACCAGUUUAAACUUAUGUAAAAACGUGCUCGCUGAUCGAAUGUGUCGUCUGACAGAAAUGAUAUAAUCGAAUGAAUAUUUUUAGUCUUUUCUAUUCAUGAUCUAUUUUUAGCUAUCGAGUCAUUCAGGCAAAGCGAGACAACUAACGGGCUACACAGAGUUACCCUACUUUGGUUGACUGAGUUCUUGGUAUUGCGGCCACCGCGUGUGUACAUUGUUGUCAUUGUCCACGCAUGGCGUGUUAUCUAUUGUGUCCUUUUUAUUUAGCAGACGAUAAGUUAAAGUGUGUUGAUCUUCGUCCUGUACGGGUGUAGUAAGUAAUUGAUGCAUUCAAUGUCAUGUAAUAAAGGAAUAGAAUUCCUGUGUUGAAUCAUUCUCUGAUCGAUACUGGAACACUUUAAGUUUCCAUAAAUAUGAUACUGGAAUUUCUGAUGAGACAAUAUAUCAUAUCACAUACGCUAGUUUCUAGAGCCAGGAUAAGUUUGACUUUCAUCUGUUUUAGGACAAGGCUUCAAUUACAAGUUUGCUUUUAGCAGAUCUUCAAUAAGUUCUAAGUGAUAUCACAGUCUCAUCUCAACCAUGUCAAAUAACUCAUUAACAGUCAGCAAGAAACAAGAGAUUUCAGGCAAUGAGAAGAAAAAGCCAGGACAAAAAGACCAAUCAGCACAGAGCGCUCGGUUAGUUCAAAAUAUGAACUCAGCAGACCCGAACUGCAUCUCUGACUUGAAAUCUGUGAUUCAAGAAUUGAGGCUAGAGAUUCAAUGCAUCAUGGAAGAACAGCAAAAAGAACUUGUCGCUCAACUCAACAUUCAAAAAGGUGACAUGCUACAAAGGGAAGCAAUUCUUCAUAGUCAAAUUAACUCUCUCAAGAACGACAUGGAAAGUCUAUCAGAGAAAUUAAGGCAAUUACUUCAAACAGAGAGUGAAAGAAAGUUGGAGCUGGAGAAGUUGUCCUCAGAAAGACAACAUCUGCUGGAGAUGUUAACUGAAUUACAGAGAGAACGGGAUGAGAAAGACUUGUGUAUUCAUUGUUCUGUCAACAAAAGUAAAGUCACCAACGUUUAGACAGAAAUUUGCCAUUGGCUUCCAUUAGUAGACUUUCACCAUUACAUUGUCAGUUCCAAUGUUCAUUGAAGGACUCUCAGGUGACUUCCUAGCCUUUCAACCAGAAGUGGGUGUUGAAAUAAAAAAAAAAUAGCUCGGAUUUGGCUCAUCUUAUUUUUUAUUUUUUUUUAGAUUUACAAACCCC
Molecule: RNA transcript, 5611 nt
Organism: Biomphalaria glabrata
Lineage: Eukaryota; Metazoa; Mollusca; Gastropoda; Planorbidae
Exons: 4
Source: RefSeq, a predicted model, not a curated record